GUCACAGAUGUGGAUCAAAGGGCUUCACCUUCUGGCAUAUGUAGUCAAAGCAUGGUUACUGUUUCUCAUCUUCUACAGGUUCACUGUGGUAUUCUGCCACGUAAAGGCUCUUGUCAAUGUUGCUUGGUAUGGGCUUUAUUUCAGUUCCCAACUGCUCCUCAAUACUUUUCAGGUUGAAUCGAUCAUCAUAGGUGAUCAAGUUG
This 203-nucleotide long non-coding RNA is filed under the name Gallus gallus (chicken). The record is from RNAcentral. Lineage: Eukaryota; Metazoa; Chordata; Aves; Galliformes; Phasianidae.